Molecule: ribosomal RNA, 279 nt
Filed under: uncultured bacterium
Lineage: Bacteria
Description: partial 16S ribosomal RNA
Rfam family: Bacterial small subunit ribosomal RNA
Source: RNAcentral
GACGAACGCUGGCGGCGAUGCCUAACACAUGCAAGUCGAACGAGACCUUCGGGUCUAGUGGCGCACGGGUGCGUAACGCGUGGGAAUCUGCCCUUGGGUUCGGAAUAACUCGCCGAAAGGCGUGCUAAUACCGGAUGAUGUCGUAAGACCAAAGAUUUAUCGCCCAGGGAUGAGCCCGCGUAAGAUUAGGUAGUUGGUGAGGUAAAGGCUCACCAAGCCGACGAUCUUUAGCUGGUCUGAGAGGAUGAUCAGCCACACUGGGACUGAGACACGGCCCAG